Molecule: ribosomal RNA, 371 nt
Filed under: uncultured organism
Description: partial 16S ribosomal RNA
Rfam family: Bacterial small subunit ribosomal RNA
Source: RNAcentral
GUAGGUGGCAAGCGUUGUCCGGAAUUAUUGGGCGUUAAGCGCGCGCAGGCGGUUCUUUAAGUCUGAUGUGAAGCCCACGGCUCAACCGUGGAGGGUCAUUGGAAACUGGAGAACUUGAGUACAGAAGAGGAAAGCGGAAUUCCACGUGUAGCGGUGAAAUGCGUAGAGAUGUGGAGGAACACCAGUGGCGAAGGCGGCUUUCUGGUCUGUAACUGACGCUGAGGCGCGAAAGCGUGGGGAGCAAACAGGAUUAGAUACCCUGGUAGUCCACGCCGUAAACGAUGAGUGCUAAGUGUUAGGGGGUUUCCGCCCCCCUUAGUGCUGCAGCUAACGCAUUAAGCACUCCGCCUGGGAGUACGGCCGCAAGGCUG